ACGGGGAUGGCGAGCGUUACUCGGAUUUACUGGGUGUAAAGGGCAGGUAGGCGGUUUUGCAAGUUGAAGGUUAAAUCCUCUGACUCAAUCAGAGAACUGCCUUCAAAACUACAUUACUUGAGGAUUUGAGAGGAGAGCGGAAUUCCCGGUGUAAGGGUGAAAUCUGUAGAUAUCGGGAGGAACACCCGUGGCGAAAGCGGCUCUCUGGCAAAUCACUGACGCUAAGCUGCGAAAGCUAGGGGAGCAAACA
RNAcentral lists this ribosomal RNA (250 nucleotides) under uncultured bacterium. RNAcentral's name for it is "partial 16S ribosomal RNA". It matches the Rfam family "Bacterial small subunit ribosomal RNA", at positions 525 to 774 of the family's 1533-position model. The record is from RNAcentral.